Molecule: ribosomal RNA, 672 nt
Filed under: uncultured Bacteroidota bacterium
Lineage: Bacteria; Pseudomonadati; Bacteroidota
Description: bacterial SSU rRNA
Rfam family: Bacterial small subunit ribosomal RNA
Source: RNAcentral
GCUACAGGCUUAACACAUGCAAGUCGAGGGGCAGCAUGGUCUUAGCUUUCUAAGGCCGAUGGCGACCGGCGCACGGGUGCGUAACGCGUAUCCAACCUUCCCGCGAGUCCUUCACAGCCCGGCGAAAGUCGGAUUAACGGGGGAUGGUCUCGUAAGACGGCAUCCGAUUACGAGUAAAGUUUAUCGCUUGCGGAUGGGGAUGCGUAGGAUUAGCUUGCAGGCGGGGUAACGGCCCACCUGGGCGACGAUCCUUAGGGGUUCUGAGAGGAAGGUCCCCCACACUGGUACUGAGACACGGACCAGACUCCUACGGGAGGCAGCAGUGAGGAAUAUUGGUCAAUGGGCGGAAGCCUGAACCAGCCAAGUAGCGUGAAGGAUGACUGCCCUACGGGUUGUAAACUUCUUUUAUAGGGGAAUAAAGUUCUCUACGUGUAGAGUUUUGUAUGUACCUUAUGAAUAAGCAUCGGCUAACUCCGUGCCAGCAGCCGCGGUAAUACGGAGGAUGCGAGCGUUAUCCGGAUUUAUUGGGUUUAAAGGGAGCGUAGACGGCGGUUUAAGUCAGCUGUGAAAUGGUGCGGCUCAACCGUAGCACUGCAGUUGAAACUGGACGGCUUGAGUGCAGUUGAGGCAGGCGGAAUUCGUGGUGUAGCGGUGAAAUGCUUAGAUAUCACG